GGACGGUUAGCUCAACUGGCUAGAGCACCUGAUUGACGUUCAGGAGGUUGAGGGUUCAAGUCCCCCACCGUCCACCA
This 77-nucleotide transfer RNA is filed under the name bacterium. RNAcentral's name for it is "tRNA-Val". It matches the Rfam family "tRNA". From Rfam's summary of the family: Transfer RNA (tRNA) molecules are approximately 80 nucleotides in length. Their secondary structure includes four short double-helical elements and three loops (D, anti-codon, and T loops). The record is from RNAcentral.